GGCACCCUACGGGGCGCAGCAGUGGGGGAUAUUGCACAAUGGGGGAAACCCUGAUGCAGCGACGCCGCGUGGGUGAAGAAGCGCCUCGGCGCGUAAAGCCCUGUCAGCAGGGAGGAAAAUGACGGUACCUGAAGAAGAAGCCCCGGCUAACUACGUGCCAGCAGCCGCGGUAAUACGUAGGGGGCAAGCGUUAUCCGGAUUUACUGGGUGUAAAGGGGGCGCAGACGGCGAUGCAAGCCAGGAGUGAAAGCCCGGGGCUCA
This 261-nucleotide ribosomal RNA is filed under the name uncultured bacterium. RNAcentral's name for it is "partial 16S ribosomal RNA". It matches the Rfam family "Bacterial small subunit ribosomal RNA", at positions 333 to 611 of the family's 1533-position model. The record is from RNAcentral.